GCGAACGCUGGCGGCAGGCCUAACACAUGCAAGUCGAGCGCCCAGCAAUGGGAGCGGCAGACGGGAGAGUAACACGUGGGAACAUGCCCUUCAGUACGGAACAACCAAGGGAAACUUUGGCUAAUGCCGUAUACGCCCGUAAGGGGAAAGAUUUAUCGCUGAAGGAUUGGCCCGCGUCUGAUUAGCUAGUUGGUGGGGUAAUGGCCCACCAAGGCGACGAUCAGUAGCUGGUCUGAGAGGAUGAUCAGCCUCACUGGGACUGAGACACGGCCCAGACUCCUACGGGAGGCAGCAGUGGGGAAUAUUGGACAAUGGGCGCAAGCCUGAUCCAGCCAUGCCGCGUGGAUGAUGAAGGCCUUAGGGUUGUAAAGUCCUUUUAACGGGGAAGAUAAUGACGGUACCCGUAGAAUAAGCCCCGGCUAACUUCGU
RNAcentral lists this ribosomal RNA (429 nucleotides) under uncultured bacterium. RNAcentral describes it as "bacterial SSU rRNA". It matches the Rfam family "Bacterial small subunit ribosomal RNA", at positions 29 to 506 of the family's 1533-position model. The record is from RNAcentral.